Long non-coding RNA from Panicum hallii, 3040 nucleotides. RefSeq lists it as uncharacterized. The transcript is spliced from 3 exons. NCBI's taxonomy places the organism in Eukaryota, Viridiplantae, Streptophyta, Magnoliopsida, Poales, Poaceae. The record is from RefSeq and is a predicted model, not a curated record.
GCGAGCCACCGACACCCCGGGCGACUGCGGCUCUGCGUCCCUGGUCGGUCCCUCCGUGGAUCCAGCUUGCUGCGGGCGCCGGCGAGAGAUCAGCCCCCACGCGCAGGCGGAGGGAGAGGCCAUAGGGCACGUACAGGGGAGAGGCGCGACGACACGAGGCAGAGCUUGGUGCGGUGCGGGCAACGGUACCUCAGCUAACCGGUAUUUUUAAUUGCAUGCAUCUCCACCACACUGCUACAAUUUCCCUGGGGUGUCACUAAGAGCAAGGCGAGCAAACACAAAGACAGCUGAGGUAUUUCUGAUUUCUACAUCUUCUACUACUCUCAUUGGAUUCUAUGGGCACCAUGAUUACCAUAUAGUCAGUCUGUCGGUGUAGCCUGCUUAGUUAUAAAUGAAAUUUUCGUGGAGACAUUACCCUUUUUUUGGUUAAAGGUGAUAAUGAAUCUGUAGUCAUUUGAAAUCAUAUGUAACACUUUAAGCCAGUCAUUUUUCAUAUUUUUAUUCAUUACUGGUAUGAGAAUGUGCAGUAAGGCAUUAGGUUUAAAUGAGAUGCCUCAAAAGAGAGAGACAGACGUUAAUUCAGAAGCAUAUAUGGCUCAUUAUUUCUGAUAACUACUUACUACACACAUCUACGAUGUAUCCUGUUCUACUUUGCGAAUGACUGCAAUUGGUCUCUUGUCGAUCUAACAGGAAAACAUAAUUUAUGAAUCUCUGAUGCUGUGCAGCUCUCAUAAUUAUUCAGUGCCUUGGAUAUUGAUUUGAGCAGGGUAUAGCAAGCCUGAAGAAAGAAACCCAGGAAAUAAUAUACUUGAUUUUGCUCUUCAUAAUGAUAUACUGACUCUUUGCAACCCCGGUAAUUGAAAUUUCAGAGCCUUCCCCAUAUUGUACAAAAUGUGCAAACCAUGCUAUUUGAAGACAACUGUUUCAGAGGUUAUUAUUUCGAGCAACAUAACCAAAAACAGUCUCUUAUUCUAACCAUGCUAUUUGAAUUUAGCAGGGGAUUGGCUGUACUUUCUAUUUUGACUCUACAUCUUACUGUGUCCUCUACAAAAAUAAAGAGUUUUACUAACAACUGUGGAUUUGUUUGGUUUACACAUUUACUAGGCGUCAUUUAAACUUACAUGUAUCUGAUGUAAACAAAUGAAGAUUGCUGGGGAACAAAUGAUUGAAGCAUCCUACAAUCUUCAAUAAUUUCAGAUAAGUGACCACCUGCAUGGACCUUGCCCAUUUUCAGCUUAUUCACUGUUGUUGCAAAUCACUGCAGACUUUCUGCUACUCCAUUAUCCACCUUGAGACUGUGCAGCCUUAACGUAAGCAUCUCUUAUAGCAUGCAUCUCAAUCAUUGCAUCCCUUAUCGGUAUCCGCUCUCUAGGUUGUUUCUUUGAGCAUGAUAUUCCAAGUGCAACAACAGAAAACAAGCAAUUCUGAAUUCGACUUCUUGAAGUGCUGUUAUAGAUAUCUAUAUGCAUGCUCAUUGUAGGAUCAACUAGCUCCCAUAUUCUCUCUGGAAGGGCAUCCUCUGCAAACGUGUGCAAAUCCAAUGAACCUCGGAACAUAUCAUCUGUUGGGCUCCUUCCUGUAAACAUCUCAAGCAGCAAUAUGCCGAGGCUAUAAACAUCACCAAGAGUUGAUACGGAAGAACCUUCACCAUAUUCUGCAAUUGUGCAAAAAAAUAUGAUUAGUAUACUGUGUUUGAUGUUUAUAUAUGGAGGGAUAAUGAAUAAAGAUCAAUAACCUGGAGCAACAUAACCAAUGGAACCUCUUAUUCCAAUUGUGCUACUCGAAUUUUGUAGGGAUUUGCUAUCACUUUCUAGAAGGAUUCUUGAUAUACCAAAGUCUCCAACUCGGGCACUCAUGUCUUCUGCAAGAAGGAUAUUGCUUGGCUUGAGAUCGCAGUGAAUGAUUGGUGGUUGACAGCGAUUAUGAAGCAGGUGAUGAUCUUUAGAAGACAACGGUGGCGCACCCUUCUCAGUGCCUCACAUUCAGCCAUAAAACUUCUAGUAGAUCCAGAUUGUUCAAGAUUAAAAACCUUUACGGCAGUAAUAGUUCCAUCACCUUCAAGAGUGCAUUUAUAGACAGACCCAAAGCUUCCUUUACCAAGCAAAUUGGCUUCUGAAAAUCCAUUGGUUCCAUUUGCUAAUGCGUGAUAAGAAAUUCUUGCAAACUGGUCAUCAACUCUUUGUGGUUGAAAUGGGCUCUUCUGCUUUUGUUGUAGCUUCUUACGGAACAAAUGAGUGAGUACAACAACAAAAGCUAAUAAUAAGAGUGCACUGGUUACUGCAAGAGCUAGGGUGAGAGACUUCAUGUGUCCUCUUCUGUUCUUUUUCACAGAGUUUGUCUGACAUGGUGCUAGAUGAAGCUGAGGAAUUCCACCACAAAGCUUAUUAUUUCCAGUGACUGACAUGUUCACAAAGUUUGUGAAAAUUCCUCCUUUUGGCACUUCUCCUUGCAGAUUGUUGAAGGACAGAUCCAACACUGACAAUGAUGUCAAAUUCUGCAGAGCUGAUGGGAUGGGCCCUGACAAGUUGUUGUGUGCCAGAUACAGUCGUUGCAGGUUGCGGAUGCUACCAAUGGCAUCAGGAAUCUUACCAGACAGGUUAUUCAUAGACAAUUUCAGCUCAUUGAGACCCUUCAGAUUACUGAGAGAUUGAGGUAUGCUUCCCUCAAAUGAGUUAUUGUCCAACCAAAGUCGUUGCAGAAUGGUGCAGUCCCCAAUACCAUCAGGUAUCACACCAGACAAUUGGUUUCCAGAUAAGAAAAGGUUGUUAAGAUUUCCCAAGCUACCAACUUCAGACGGAAGUGGUCCUGAGAGUGAAUUAUACGAUAAGUCCAAGUUACUUGAAAGGACUGGUAGGUUGAAAAUGUCUUUGGGAAUUGAACCAUUCAGGCGGUUCAUCGACAGAUCAAGGGCUAACAGAUUCUUUAACUUCCCUAUGCUUGAUGGAAUUGGUCCCUCCAAGUUGCAACGGUGUGCAUCAAGAAAAGUCAACAUUGAGAUAUUUCCAAUAGAUGAAGGUAUUUGCCCUGACAGGUUAGUGUU